CCAUCAGCACCUGCUGCCAAUAGCUUUAUUGUUGACCCUUGGCUCAGGGCUUGUGAGGGGGCUACAAGCGGGCAGUUAGAAAGAUGCCUCCUGGCUGGAGGGGCUCGGGCAGGCGCCCGCAGGCUGGGGGAAGAGUGCCCUCCCCCACGGCCUCUGGGCUCCAGAGACUCCUAGUGGUGCUUGAGGGUGAGCCUUCCAAAGAGGUAACUCGCCCCGCCCCGCCCCGCCCCGCCUGCGGGCCAGCAAGCCUGCGGAGCUUGGUCACGUGGUCGCCCAGCUUGCUGAGCAGUUUCACCUCCUCAAAGAGGAAACGCUUCUCCAGGAAGGCACAGAGCUGAGGAAGAGAAGAGAAGUGAACAAUUCUACUGGAGAGAUGACAGGAGGCAAUAGGUGCCAAGGUGGCAGAUGUGGCAAGCGAGGCACGGCAUUUCCCAGAAGUCCCGGGUGGGAAAGAGCGGAGAAGGGAUGGAGCCCCAAGCGGAUCUGGGAGCGCCUUGGCACGACCCCCAGUCUCCUGCAAGGACACAGCCCCAGAGAGCACGGAGCUGUCUGGACGCCAGGCCUUGCGAGAGCGCCUCCACUUCAGCCACCAUAAGCAACCCACCUAACCCUGAACUCAAUGCCCCGGGAGCGGGGGAGUGGGUCAGUCACGCGCCUGGAGAAGGAACCCACGAGGUGGUUGUGAAAUGGGGAAUGGGGCUGUGGGUGGGGGAGGGUCGGUCUCGGUUUGCUUGGCGGGAAGCAGGGGGCCCCAGGCCGAUUCUGGGAAGUCGAAAGGUUCUGGGAGGUGGGACCUUGAUGGGGACACUGGGAAUCCUGGGAGGUGAGGAUUCUGGGGUGCCGGGGUUGGCGCAGAAAGGAGGUGGGCUUCCGGGGUUGUCUGUGAGAGCGUGGACUUGACUGGAAGCCGGGGGGCCUUCCUCAGAAGUGCGGAGGGAACCUGCGCACAGCUGGGCUUGGCGCUGCGAGAUCAGCUGAGGCUCAUUGGGAAGUUGCCCGGGCUGUUCCAGGACGCUGGGAACUCCCUGAGGUGGGGUGGGGGACCUGGAGCUCGGGCUGCGGCAGAGGUGAAGGUGUGAUAGGCUUAGAGUUCCCUAGGGGGAU
Molecule: long non-coding RNA, 1104 nt
Filed under: Dasypus novemcinctus (nine-banded armadillo)
Lineage: Eukaryota; Metazoa; Chordata; Mammalia; Cingulata; Dasypodidae
Description: lncRNA (ENSDNOG00000052557.1)
Source: RNAcentral